AUACGUAGGGAGCGAGCGUUGUCCGGAAUUACUGGGUGUAAAGGGAGCGUAGGCGGGAGUGCAAGUCAGAUGUGAAAUACAUGGGCUCAACCCAUGGGCUGCAUUUGAAACUGCAUUUCUUGAGUGAAGUAGAGGUAAGCGGAAUUCCUGGUGUAGCGGUGAAAUGCGUAGAUAUCAGGAGGAACACCGGUGGCGAAGGCGGCUUACUGGGCUUUUACUGACGCUGAGGCUCGAAAGCGUGGGGAGCAAACAGGAUAAGAUACCCUGGUAGUCCACGCUGUAAACGAUGAUUACUAGGUGUGGGGGGACUGACCCCUUCCGUGCCGCAGUUAACACAAUAAGUAAUCCACCUGGGGAGUACGGCCGCAAGGUUGAAACUCAAAGGAAUUGACGGGG
This 396-nucleotide ribosomal RNA is filed under the name uncultured bacterium. RNAcentral describes it as "partial 16S ribosomal RNA". It matches the Rfam family "Bacterial small subunit ribosomal RNA", at positions 523 to 918 of the family's 1533-position model. The record is from RNAcentral.